RNAcentral lists this ribosomal RNA (600 nucleotides) under Trichoderma sp. JCM 28101. RNAcentral's name for it is "eukaryotic LSU rRNA". The stretch from base 233 to 385 matches the Rfam family "5.8S ribosomal RNA". Lineage: Eukaryota; Fungi; Ascomycota; Sordariomycetes; Hypocreales; Hypocreaceae. The record is from RNAcentral.
UCUCCGUUGGUGAACCAGCGGAGGGAUCAUUACCGAGUUUACAACUCCCAAACCCAAUGUGAACGUUACCAAACUGUUGCCUCGGCGGGAUCUCUGCCCCGGGUGCGUCGCAGCCCCGGACCAAGGCGCCCGCCGGAGGACCAACCAAAACUCUUUUUGUAUACCCCCUCGCGGGUUUUUUAUAAUCUGAGCCUUCUCGGCGCCUCUCGUAGGCGUUUCGAAAAUGAAUCAAAACUUUCAACAACGGAUCUCUUGGUUCUGGCAUCGAUGAAGAACGCAGCGAAAUGCGAUAAGUAAUGUGAAUUGCAGAAUUCAGUGAAUCAUCGAAUCUUUGAACGCACAUUGCGCCCGCCAGUAUUCUGGCGGCAUGCCUGUCCGAGCGUCAUUUCAACCCUCGAACCCCUCCGGGGGGUCGGCGUUGGGGAUCGGCCCUGCCUCUUGGCGGUGGCCGUCUCCGAAAUACAGUGGCGGUCUCGCCGCAGCCUCUCCUGCGCAGUAGUUUGCACACUCGCAUCGGGAGCGCGGCGCGUCCACAGCCGUUAAACACCCAACUUCUGAAAUGUUGACCUCGGAUCAGGUAGGAAUACCCGCUGAACUUAA